ACGCCUGGCAGAGGAACUAACCAACCUGACUACGGAUCAGAAGGUUGGGGGUUCGAAUCCCUCCGGGCGCACCA
This 74-nucleotide transfer RNA is filed under the name Corynebacterium lipophiloflavum DSM 44291. Its description in RNAcentral is "tRNA-Arg". The record is from RNAcentral. Lineage: Bacteria; Bacillati; Actinomycetota; Actinomycetes; Mycobacteriales; Corynebacteriaceae.